ACUCCUACGGGAGGCAGCAGUAGGGAAUAUUGGUCAAUGGGCGAAAGCCUGAACCAGCCAUCCCGCGUGAAGGACGAAGGGGCUCAGCCUCGUAAACUUCUUUUAUCUGGGAACAAAAAGACAGUCUCUGUCAUAUUGAGGGUACCAGAGGAAUCAGCACCGGCCAACUACGUGCCAGCAGCCGCGGUAAUACGUAGGGUGCCAGCGUUACCCGGAAUCACUGGGUUUAAAGGGUGCGCAGGCGGAUCUGUAAGUCAGAGGUUAAAGAUUCCCGCUUAACGGGAAAACAGCCUUUGAUACUGCGGGUCUUGAGAGCGGUUGAGGUACGCGGAAUGAAUGGUGUAGCGGUGAAAUGCGUAGAGAUCACUCAGAACACCGAUUGCGAAGGCAGCGUACUAAGCCGUUUCUGACGCUCAGGCACGAAAGCGUGGGGAGCAAACAGGAUUAGAUACCCUGGUAGUCCACGCUGUAAACGAUGUUCACUCGAUGCGGCGGAUUUAUCUGCCGUGUCCCAGCGAAAGCGUUAAGUGAACCACCUGGGAAGUACGCCCGCAAGGGUGAAACUUAAAGGAAUUGACG
Molecule: ribosomal RNA, 579 nt
Filed under: uncultured Bacteroidota bacterium
Lineage: Bacteria; Pseudomonadati; Bacteroidota
Description: bacterial SSU rRNA
Rfam family: Bacterial small subunit ribosomal RNA
Source: RNAcentral